RNAcentral lists this long non-coding RNA (1306 nucleotides) under Monodelphis domestica (gray short-tailed opossum). RNAcentral describes it as "lncRNA (ENSMODG00000036666.1)". The record is from RNAcentral. Lineage: Eukaryota; Metazoa; Chordata; Mammalia; Didelphimorphia; Didelphidae.
CUCAUGCAUUGUUAGAAGGAAAUAUGGGUCUCUAAAAUCAUGCCUGGAUGCAGGCAGGUAAACAAGAGGUAUAUGAUGCUGUUAGUCAUUCAGUGAUUUUUGACUCGUUGUGAUUCGAUAGAUCAUAUUACAUAAGGCGCUUCUUUCCUCUACUAUCUCUCCAAGCUUAAGUGGGAAAAAGGUGUCUAAGGGGCAGGUUUGUGGCUCAGUGAAUUGACAGUCAGUCCUGGAGACAGGAGGUCUUGGGUUCAAAUGUAACCUCAGAUACUUCCUAGCUGUGUGAUACUGGGAAAGACACCACUUGCAUUGUUUAGUUUUACUGCCCAUCUACCUCGGAAACAAUAGUAUUGAUUCUAAGACAGAAGGUAAGGGUCUUUAAAAAAAGAAAAGGAAAAAAAGAAAAAGGCAUUUAAACUCACUGCUUUCUCUCCUACAACAAAUUAUGUGACACCUUAGAUACUUUAACCAGUACUUCGUUAAUCAAAAUGGUUAAAUUGGGAAACUAUCUCAUAUCUCUUCUCCCUGUCACAGUAGCCUUUGAAGAAAAAAAAAGGCACCUUGCCCCACUUCUCCCAUUCCUCAGCCCUUCAGGGCAUGUGGCUUCAUACCUUAUCACUUGGCUGAAACUCCCAUCUUCAAGACUAUCAAGAAUAUGUUAAUUGCUAAAACAGUAAUUUAUUCUCAGUCCUCACUCAUCCUUCUGGUUUCUCUCUCCAGCUUUUGACAUUGUUUACUUAUGAAACACAGUUCUUCCAGUGUUCUGGAACACAGUGUUCUUCCAGACAGUUCUCUCCUCCUUCAGCUUUUUCUGACAUUGUGGUGUCCUUCCACCUGACUGAUUACUUCUUUGUUUCUUAUUUUUUUGAUGAUCAAUGCUCUUCUCUUAACCAAAGGACAAGACAAUGGGGAUGCAAAAAUGAAGCCUCUGUUCUCCCAGCUCCCAGAAAAUCCUAUUUUGCUGAAUUAAAAUGCACUCUGGGGUUUGGGGUCAAAGAUGCUGAGCAAGCCCUUUUGCUGUCCAAAGAUCAAGGGAAAGAACUCCAGGGGUGGCAAGAAGGCCUGUGACCUUGCCCAGCAAUACUGACCACUCCCAUCAAUCCCAGCAUGAAGCUGCUACAGCUGCUACAUCAAGUAUGAAGGGAAUAGACUAUGAGCGAUGAAGGCAAGACUUUCCGGUCCUUUGCUCUCUCUACCCCGAUGGGAACAGCAGGAAUUGGAGAAGCACAGACCCAAGGCACAUUAAUGGCAAAUGACUUUUACACUGAAAAUGACAGAAUAAAAAUGGCAAACAGGGAAUUGAUGCCCA